ACGUAGGUGGCGAGCGUUAUCCGGAAUGAUUGGGCGUAAAGGGUGCGCAGGCGGUCUGUUAAGUCUGAAGGCAAAGGGAUGAGCUCAACUCAUUCAUGAUUCAGAAACUGGCAGACUUGAGGACAGGAGAGGGCGGUGGAACUCCAUGUGUAGCGGUAAAAUGCGCAGAGAUAUGGAAGAACACCAGUGGCGAAGGCGGCCGCCUGGCCUGUGACUGACGUUGAGGCACGAAAGCGUGGGGAGCAAAUAG
This 250-nucleotide ribosomal RNA is filed under the name uncultured prokaryote. Its description in RNAcentral is "partial 16S rRNA". It matches the Rfam family "Bacterial small subunit ribosomal RNA", at positions 525 to 775 of the family's 1533-position model. The record is from RNAcentral.